AUUGAACGCUGGCGGCAGGCCUAACACAUGCAAGUCGAACGAGUGGCGGACGGGUGAGUAAUGUCUGGGAAACUUCCCGAUGGAGGGGGAUAACUACUGGAAACGGUAGCUAAUACCGCCUACCAUCUGAUGUGCCCAGAUGGGUUUGGCUAGUAGGUGGGGUAACGGCUCACCUAGGCUACGAUCCCUAGCUGGGCUGCAAGGAUUACCAGCCACACUGGAACUAAGACACGCUCCAGUCGCCUACGGGAGGCAGCAGUUGUGAAUAUUGCACAAUGGGCGCAAGCCGGAUGAAGCCAGGCCGCGUGUAUGAAGAAGGGCUUCUGUUUGUAAAGUACUUGCAGCGAGGAGGCGUUAAUCGCAGAAGAAGCACAGGCUCACUCCGUGCCAGCAGCCGCGGUAAUAC
Molecule: ribosomal RNA, 406 nt
Filed under: uncultured bacterium
Lineage: Bacteria
Description: partial 16S ribosomal RNA
Rfam family: Bacterial small subunit ribosomal RNA
Source: RNAcentral